CGGACGGGUGAGUAACGCGUGAGAAUCUGCCCUCAGGAGGGGGAUAACGGCUGGAAACGGCCGCUAAUACCCCAUAUGCCGAGAGGUGAAAUGAGUUUCGCCUGAGGAUGAGCUCGCGUCUGAUUAGCUAGUUGGUGGGGUAAAGGCCUACCAAGGCGUCGAUCAGUAGCUGGUCUGAGAGGAUGAUCAGCCACACUGGGACUGAGACACGGCCCAGACUCCCACGGGAGGCAGCAGUGGGGAAUUUUCCGCAAUGGGCGAAAGCCUGACGGAGCAACGCCGCGUGAGGGAUGAAGGCCUCUGGGCUGUAAACCUCUUUUAUCAAGGAAGAAGAUCUGACGGUACUUGAUGAAUAAGCCACGGCUAAUUCCGUGCCAGCAGCCGCGGUAAUACGGGAGUGGCAAGCGUUAUCCGGAAUUAUUGGGCGUAAAGCGUCCGCAGGCGGCCUUGCAAGUCUGUCGUCAAAGCGUGGAGCUUAACUCCAUUUAAGCGAUGGAAACUGCAAGGCUAGAGUGUGGUAGGGGCAGAGGGAAUUCCCGGUGUAGCGGUGAAAUGCGUAGAUAUCGGGAAGAACACCAGUGGCGAAGGCGCUCUGCUGGGCCAUAACUGACGCUCAUGGACGAAAGCCAGGGGAGCGAAAGGGAUUAGAUACCCCUGUAGUC
Molecule: ribosomal RNA, 662 nt
Filed under: uncultured Cyanobacterium sp.
Lineage: Bacteria; Bacillati; Cyanobacteriota; Cyanophyceae; Chroococcales; Geminocystaceae
Description: bacterial SSU rRNA
Rfam family: Bacterial small subunit ribosomal RNA
Source: RNAcentral